UCUAAAACUCAAAGGAAUUGACGGGGCCCGCACAAGCGGUGGAGCAUGUGGUUUAAUUCGACGCAACGCGCAGAACCUUACCAGCCCUUGACAUGUCCAGGACCGGUUGCAGAGAUGUGACCUUGUCUUCGGAGCCUGGAGCACAGGUUAGCAUGGCUGUCGUCAGCUCGUGUCGUGAGAUGUUGGGUUAAGUCCCGCAACGAGCGCAACCCUCGCCCUUAGUUGCCAUCAUUCAGUUGGGCACUCUAAGGGGACUGCCGGUGAUAAGCCGAGAGGAAGGUGGGGAUGACGUCAAGUCCUCAUGGCCCUUACGGGCUGGGCUACACACGUGCUACAAUGGCGGUGACAAUGGGAUGCAAAGGCGCGAGCCCUAGCAAAUCUCAAAAAA
RNAcentral lists this ribosomal RNA (388 nucleotides) under uncultured bacterium. Its description in RNAcentral is "bacterial SSU rRNA". It matches the Rfam family "Bacterial small subunit ribosomal RNA", at positions 893 to 1281 of the family's 1533-position model. The record is from RNAcentral.